GGGGCUCGCACCCCUACUGGUCCCUAUAGGGGAUCCUAGGGGGGGUGUUCCCAUCCUAUAUGGCCCCGGGAGGGGGUCUAUAGGGUCCUGGGGGGGGCUUUGUCCCUGUAUGGGGGCAGCAGCCCCUAUAUGUCUGCCUGUGUGCCCCUUAUAGCGCCCUGCAGAGGGGGAGCCCCCCUGGGCUGCCCUAAAGGGCCCUAUAGGGGCAGGGGUCUCCAUACGUUCCCAUAUAGGGCCCUGUGCGAGGGGACCUAUAGGGCUGGGGCUCCCCUAUAGGGCUGGGGACCCUCUCCUCCCCCUAUACAGCCCUUGGGGGGGCGACCCUAUACGUUCCUGGGGUGGUCUGGGUGCUUUCCAUAGGGUCUUGGGUUCUUCCUUAUUUUUUUUUGUGCUCUUUCCAGACUUUUUAAUCAUUUUCCCCAUUUUUUAUGUCGUUUCCCAGGCUUUUUGCCAUCCCUCUCCAACCCCAACGUGAGCCAAACUCUUUUUUUCAGCCUUUUUGCCCUAAAUCGGCGCGCUUUUAGGGCUUUGUGUUAUUGGGGCGGUCGUUUUGGGGGCAAAUCAGGCAGAAAUGGGAAGCUCGGGAAGGAUUCAGCUCCACAAGCCUGGCGUUGGGGCUCCCUCUGCAGCCAAAAGAGGGAAAAAAAAGAGAAUUUAGGGACACUGCGUCCCGGGGAGCUUGGGGGGGGGUCUGAAACGCUUCCACCUCCAGCUUUUUGGGGCUAAAACAUCAGGAAUUGAGCACUGGAUGUCCCCUUAUGUUCCAGCAAACUGAUAUUUAUUUACCCAAGUCGAUAUUUAAUUACCCAAAUCAGUAGUUAUUUACCCAAAUCCAUAUUUAAUGCAUUUUGACUCAUUUUGGGGCUCCUUUGGACCCAUUUUGGGGCUCCUUUUCCACCCAUUUGUUCCCACCAUGCUCCUUUUUGACCCAUUUUUUCUCCCUCGCACUACUUUUGACCCAUUUUUUUUCCCCACAUCCCAUUUUGGGGCUCCUUUUGACCCAUUUUCCCCCACACACUCCUUUUUGACCCAAUUUUUCCCCCCCACAUCCCAUUUUGGGGCUCCUUUUGACCUGUUUUUCCCACACACACUCCUUUUUGACCCAUUUUUCCCACCUCACAUCCCAUUUUGGGGCUCCUUUCCACCCAUUCUGGGGCUCCUUUCAACCCACUUUUCCCCACCACUCUCCCUUUUGGCUUGUUUUUUCCCCCCUCCACUCAUUUUGGGGCCCCUUUUCACCCAUUUUCCCCCACCACUCUCCUUUUUGACCCAAUUUUUCCCCCCACAUCCCAUUUUGUGUCUCCUUUCUACCCAUUUUUCCCCCCACAACCUCCUUUUUGACCUGAUUUUUUCCCCCACAUCCCUUUUUGGGGCUCCUUUUGACCCAUUCUGAGGCUCCUUUCCACCCAUUUCCCCCCCCCACUCUCCAUUUUGACCCAUUUUUCCCACCUCACAUCCCAUUUUGGGGCUCCUUUUGACCCACUUUCCCCCCACACACUACUUUUUGACCCAGUUUUUCCCCACACAUCCCAUUUUGGGGCUCCUUUCCACCCAUUUUGGGGCCCCUUUUGACCCACUUUUCCCCACCACUCUCCUUUUUGACCCAUUUUUCCCACUGCACGUCCCAUUCUGGGGCUCCUUUCCAUCCAUUUUUCCCCCCACACACUACUUUUUGACCCAAUUUUUCCCCCCACA
This 1695-nucleotide long non-coding RNA is filed under the name Anas platyrhynchos platyrhynchos (common mallard). Its description in RNAcentral is "lncRNA (ENSAPLG00000029360.1)". Lineage: Eukaryota; Metazoa; Chordata; Aves; Anseriformes; Anatidae. The record is from RNAcentral.